UGUAAACAUCGGUAUAUUUUGACCCGAAGUUACAUUGCAAAGUGGAUCCCUGUCAAUGGCAUAACUGUCACAUGCUCUUAUUGGUCAAGCGUAAAUCAUAAACAGCGGCGUUGGCGGGGCGGAGAACAGAAAUACGGAGUAGCACUUCCAUUUUUCAGCCACCGAGUGCGAGUCUCAGCCAGCUAGGGUUUUGCUGCGAUUCCAGAGAGCGAGGGAAGAGCGAGACUUCUGUAGGCUUUAGCCAUGGCGACCACCAAAGUUCAGAGGAUUAUGACUCAACCAUUAAAUCUCGCAUUCAGAUAUGGCUUUUUGAACAGAAGGAUCUUAGAAUCGAAGGCCGCAUUAUUUGCUAUGUUGGGUGGAGUUUGCAGCUGGAUGUCAUGACUCAUGAGUUUGGUCUCACUGGAAAAUGAAUUUGGUUCUUGAUGAUGCUGAGGAAGGAAAUAUAAAGAAGAGCAGAAAGCAACUAGGACGCAUACUUUUGAAAGGCGACAAUAUCACCCUUAUGAUGAAUACUUAUAUGGGGAAGUAACAUCAUGGAAGUUGUGUGCCGAGCUCACCCGCACAUGUUGUGUUAUUAUGGCCAUGUGAUUGAAGAUCUUGUGAACAAAUAUCGUCACCAUAAUGUAUCCUAGGGACUAGAGCACCAACACCAGGCAUGUAGUUAUCUUUGAUGCACUAUUGCAUUGUCUUUGAGCAGGGUAUUGACUGUUGUAUACAUAACUAGACGUUCAGCUUUGAUUUGAAUAGCAUAUAUCAAUGAUGUUCCUGAUACUAUUCUUUUCCCCUAUUCAUAUGGCAGGAAAAUGAUGUUUGUGCUGCAACUUCGUUGGCGCAUAUUGUAUGACAAAAUUACCCUUAUUGCAGCUUUCUUUCCUUGGAAUGGAGGUGUUUAAAUGCCUUGUGC
Long non-coding RNA from Ipomoea triloba (trilobed morning glory), 907 nucleotides. RefSeq lists it as uncharacterized. The record is from RefSeq and is a predicted model, not a curated record. NCBI's taxonomy places the organism in Eukaryota, Viridiplantae, Streptophyta, Magnoliopsida, Solanales, Convolvulaceae. The transcript is spliced from 5 exons.